Molecule: ribosomal RNA, 551 nt
Filed under: uncultured bacterium
Lineage: Bacteria
Description: partial 16S ribosomal RNA
Source: RNAcentral
GGAGUUAGCCGGUGCUUCUUCUGUGAGUGAUGUCCUUCCUGCCGGCUAUUAACCCGCAGACCUUCUUCCUCACUGAAAGUGCUUUACAACCCGAAGGCCUUCUUCACACACGCGGCAUGGCUGGAUCAGGGUUGCCCCCAUUGUCCAAUAUUCCCCACUGCUGCCUCCCGUAGGAGUCUGGGCCGUGUCUCAGUCCCAGUGUGGCUGAUCAUCCUCUCAGACCAGCUACGGAUCGUCGCCUUGGUGAGCCGUUACCUCACCAACCAGCUAAUCCGACAUAGGCUCAUCCGAUAGCGCGAGGCCCGAAGGUCCCCCGCUUUCCCCCGUAGGGCGUAUGCGGUAUUAGCCUGGGUUUCCCCAGGUUAUCCCCCACUACCGGGCAGAUUCCUAUGCAUUACUCACCCGUCCGCCGCUCGCCACCAGGGAGCAAGCUCCCCGUGCUGCCGCUCGACUUGCAUGUGUUAGGCCUGCCGCCAGCGUUCAAUCUGAGCCANANAGACCCAACGUACCUGACGUCGGGACGUCGGGGCCUAGGGCCGAACGGCGUACGA